ACAGGAAUCGGCUGGCGGACAGCCUCAACAUGGGAGUUAUGGAUUGGUUUGAUCCAAUUGCUGAUUCGACUACUAGCCAUCUCGAUCUGAUUCCCCACAUGGUUUAGGGGAGAAGUUUAAAACAACAGGACUAUGGAAGGAUAUACGGUGCUACAUUGACAGUCAACUCUACGGUUUGUAGGUUGAAGUUUGCUUAACACGCUUCAACCGUCGAAC
Molecule: long non-coding RNA, 216 nt
Organism: Helianthus annuus (common sunflower)
Lineage: Eukaryota; Viridiplantae; Streptophyta; Magnoliopsida; Asterales; Asteraceae
Exons: 4
Source: RefSeq, a predicted model, not a curated record